GACGUAGGGCGCGAGCGUUGUCCGGAUUUAUUGGGCGUAAAGAGCUCGUAGGCGGCUUGUUGCGUCGACCGUGAAAACCCGGGGCUCAACUUCGGGCUUGCGGUCGAUACGGGCGGGCUAGAGUUCGGUAGGGGAGACUGGAAUUCCUGGUGUAGCGGUGAAAUGCGCAGAUAUCAGGAGGAACACCGGUGGCGAAGGCGGGUCUCUGGGCCACUACUGACGCUGAGAAGCGAAAGCAUGGGGAGCGAACAGG
RNAcentral lists this ribosomal RNA (253 nucleotides) under uncultured bacterium. RNAcentral's name for it is "partial 16S ribosomal RNA". It matches the Rfam family "Bacterial small subunit ribosomal RNA", at positions 524 to 776 of the family's 1533-position model. The record is from RNAcentral.